Molecule: ribosomal RNA, 482 nt
Filed under: uncultured Saprospiraceae bacterium
Lineage: Bacteria; Pseudomonadati; Bacteroidota; Saprospiria; Saprospirales; Saprospiraceae
Description: bacterial SSU rRNA
Rfam family: Bacterial small subunit ribosomal RNA
Source: RNAcentral
GAUGAACGCUAGCGGGAGGCUUAAUACAUGCAAGUCGCAGGGUAGUAUCGGAUUUAUUCGAUAUGAGACUGGCGCACGGGUGAGUAACGCGUACAUGACCUGCCCUGAAGAGGGGGAUAGCCCUGGGAAACUGGGAGUAAUCCGCCAUAGUCCACUAAAGUAGCAUUGCUUAAGUGGUAAAGGAGUGAUCUGCUUCAGGAUGGAUGUGCGUAUGAUUAGCUAGUUGGUGAGGUAACGGCUCACCAAGGCGAUGAUCAUUAGGGGGCGUGAGAGCGUGGACCCCCACACGGGUACUGAGACACGGACCCGACUCCUACGGGAGGCAGCAGUAAGGAAUAUUGGACAAUGGGCGCAAGCCUGAUCCAGCCAUCCCGCGUGCAGGAUGAAGGCGCUCCGCGUCGUAAACUGCUUUUGCGUAGGAAGAACAGACGGGAUUUAUCCUGUUUUGACGGUACUACGAGAAUAAGCACCGGCUAACUCUG